GUGCUUUGGCCUUCUUUCAGGCGGUGGGUAAGAUCCUACUCACCUGAAGGGAUAAUUUUGUCAUUUGGGUGAUUACUUCAAUACUUUUGACGAGAUCAAGCAUCUAUUUGAAAAACAGAAGGAAAAGUUUUAUUGAUGUCCAUGGAGGGAAUCUAAAAUACAUGAAGGGAGCCUAUGUCUACAACAAAAUCAGCAUUUAUUGAUAUUGAUGAUUUUGACAAACUACUGAACCAGUUACAACUUGAAGCUCUAGUUAGAUAUGUUGCUUUUUAAGAUGUAGGAGGCAAUGGGGCUUGUUAGAGUGUAUUUGAAGCCCCAUGGCAAAGGCCUAAUUACUUCAAGUCUUUUAUUCUCUACUCGAG
Molecule: long non-coding RNA, 362 nt
Organism: Nymphaea colorata (pocket water lily)
Lineage: Eukaryota; Viridiplantae; Streptophyta; Magnoliopsida; Nymphaeales; Nymphaeaceae
Exons: 3
Source: RefSeq, a predicted model, not a curated record